AUACGGAGGGUACGAACGUUAAUCGGAAUUACUGGGCGUAAAGCGCGCGUAGGUGGUUCGGUAAGUGGGAUGUGAAAGCCCCGGGCUCAACCCGGGAACUGCAUUCCAAACUGCCGGGCUAGAGUAUGCUAGAGGGAGGUAGAAUUUCCUGUGUAGCGGUGAAAUGCGUAGAUAUAGGAAGGAAUACCGGUGGCGAAGGCGGCCUCCUGGACCAAUACUGACACUGAGGUGCGAAAGCGUGGGGAGCAAACAGCAUUAGAAACCCCAGUAGUCC
This 274-nucleotide ribosomal RNA is filed under the name uncultured bacterium. Its description in RNAcentral is "partial 16S ribosomal RNA". It matches the Rfam family "Bacterial small subunit ribosomal RNA", at positions 523 to 796 of the family's 1533-position model. The record is from RNAcentral.